Molecule: long non-coding RNA, 1163 nt
Filed under: Aquilegia coerulea
Lineage: Eukaryota; Viridiplantae; Streptophyta; Magnoliopsida; Ranunculales; Ranunculaceae
Description: long non-coding RNA (ACOE_LNC000416)
Source: RNAcentral
GGGCACCAACACUAAAAGCGGUAUCAAUACCUGAUGUGGAUUAUUCUCUUUAUAAAGAUAACUCUCAGCAACCUCAUCAGGUGUGUGCAGACAAUAAUGUAGUAUACUUCAAUUAAUCUCAAUCACUACAUAACAAGUCUCUUAUUCUUCAUCUGUUUGCAUAAAUUAGCCAGACCAAUAAACAAUGUUGCAUAAAAACAAUCAAACCAAUUUAAUGGUAGCAAUACAUUGCUUCUAAUCAGCCCUUAGACUCAUUCAUCUUGGACUGUUAACUUAACUUGGUUUCUUCAAUUAACUUGGACUGCAGAUUCACACAAACUUAACAUGGUUUCUUCAAUUGCUUGGACGGGUAAUUUGGUUUCUUCUAUUGCUCGUGAUUGUUCUAAUACUCUUAUUCUGUUUCACACUUUGAUAAAUGCUUAAUUAAAGUGUUUACUGAUAUACCUGUUCUCUUAUGCAUUUGUUAAGUACCAUGUUCUUUUCAUAAUUUUUCUGUUAUUGUUAACAUCUUCUUGAUUUUGUUUUCUAUAAUCAUUCUUUCUGUUAUCCAAACUGUUAAUGCUGUCCUUUCAUACAUGUGCCUCCAUUAUUUUGGGUCCCGAACAUCUUCAUUGAAUCAUAAUGGUGCCCAUCAUAUUGAACAAUUGGAGAACGAACUGGCUGAAAUGAGAAGGACAAGACAAGAAUGAGAACAUGAAAUGCAACGUGAAAUUGUCGAAAUGAGAAGGCAAACACAAGAAAAGGAAGAGCAGGGACAGCAAAACUUUGAUCCUUCAAUUGAGUUUUUUGUUUUAGUACAAUAGGUAUUGGCUUUGCCAAACUUUGUUCAUUCAAUCGAGUUUCGUACACUAUUAUUAUUAUUUCUUUUCAGAGGAUUGCAUAAAGCUGAGACUUGUUGAUGUGGGACUUGGAGGAGGAAAAGUAUAGCUGGUACCAAGUUAUGCACACUUUUGGAACUUGUAGGAAUUAGGUGCAAAGCAUUUUGAUAUGUUUUUACUUUAUAGUUGGUAUUUUAUUUUAUUGUAUCUGAAAAAUAUGUGAUUGUUCGAAUUUAUGAAUAAUUUUGUUAAAUGGAAGUAUAUUACGGUGUAACUACUUUGUAUAAUUGUAUUACUUUUUAAGUGCCAAUUACAGGCUGUAUUGUAACAAUGAUUUAAGGAAGG